UGUCAUUGUUUUGACAUGGUGUGACAUUUGUUUGACAGUGUUGUGACAUUGUAUUGAUGAUAGUGUGAUGUUGUUUGGGUGUAGUGAGACAUCUUUACAAUGUUUUUUUUUUAAACAUGGUGCGACAUUGUUUUGACAGUGGUGUGGUAUAUUUGGACAUAGUGUGACAUUGUUUUGACAGUGGUGUGGUAUAUUUGGACAUAGUGUGACAUUGUUUUGACAGUGGUGUGGUAUAUUUGGACAUAGUGUGACAUUGUUUUGAUGUUAGUGUGAUGUUGUUUGGAUGUUUUGACAUUUUUACAGUUUUUUUUUUCUCGGACAUGGUGUGACAUUUUUUGACAGUGGUGUAAUAUUUUUGACAGUAGUGUGACAUUGUUUUGACACUGAUGUUUAUUCUGUAGCAAAGACAGUGGGAGGAAGAGCAGUUGAAAUGUCAUUGUUUUGACAUGGUGUGACAUUGUUUUGACAUGGUGUGACAUUGUUUUGACACUGAUGUUUAUUCUGUAGCAAAGACAGUGGGAGGAAGAGCAGUUGAAAUGUCAGGUGAAGUUUGAAGAGGCUCAGAUAGACCCUGCCCCCUUCCAGCUAGUGGAGAGGACUUCCUUACAGAAAGUUCACUCUCUGUUCUCACUGCUAGGCCUGAACCAUGCCUAUGUCACCAAUACAGGGAGGUUGGUAGGAGUAGUUGCACUUAAAGAGGUAAACACAUAUCAACAUGUUACUAUCAUAACUAUAUAAUACUGUAAACUUGAACCAUGCCUAUGUCACCAAUACAGGGAGGUUGGUAGGAGUAGUUGCACUUAAAGAGGUGAGGAGGGCCAUUGAGGGCCAGGUAGAAGAAGACCAUGAACUUAUGCGGACACACAAGCGUGGCAGCACGGUGGAACUGGAGAUGGAAGUGCGGGAACGGUCGGAUAGUGAGGCUUGAACUACAUCAACUCAUCAGAUAGUGAGGCGUAAAUAAUAAUUGCUCAUGGUCAGUUUGGGGCAGAAAGGAAAGUGAAGCACAUGGAAACUGAAAUAUUUUAUCAGGACAUGAAAUAUGCCAGAAGACAGUGAAGAGAACAUUACUAGGAGCUGUGUACCAGUAGAGAGAGAGGAGAGUAUGAACUCUUAACAUUGGUGCUGUGGUCAGAAUACUUGGUGUUUACCAUGUACCCCCCUCUCACUGCUGACAUACUGCAUUUAGAGAGUUAUCAAAAUAAAGAACAAAGAGCUAUGGCAUGUCAUGAUAGUCCAUGACUUGACAGUCAGUGUCAUGGUAACCAUUGCCAUGACAAUAUGCCAUGACAGUGCAUGACCUGACAUUCAGUAUAUGGUAAUUGUUG
Long non-coding RNA from Lingula anatina, 1328 nucleotides. The record is from RefSeq and is a predicted model, not a curated record. NCBI's taxonomy places the organism in Eukaryota, Metazoa, Brachiopoda, Lingulata, Lingulida, Lingulidae.